UCAAGCUACAAAGAGCACAAGGGGAAUGCCUUGGCACCGAGAGCCGAAGAAGGACGUGACUAACUGCGAUAAGCUGCGGGGAGCCGUAAGUAGGCUUUGAUCCGCAGAUUUCCGAAUGGAGCAAUCCGGCAAGAGGAAAGUCUUGUCAUCAUAUACUGAAUACAUAGGUAUAUGAGGGGAACCGCCUGAACUGAAACAUCUAAGUAGGGCGAGGAAGAGAAAUCAACUGAGAUUCCGUAAGUAGUGGCGAGCGAACGCGGAAGAGGCCAAACCGAGAGUAGUAAUACUUUCGGGGUUCGGACAGAAAACGGUAUUGUAAAGGUUUAGUGGAAUGGAAUGGGAAGUCCAACCGAAGAAGGUGAGAGUCCUGUACACGAAAAGCCUGAACAGCCAUCUGUAUCCAGAGUACCGCCGGACACGUGAAACCCGGUGGGAAUACGGGGGGACCAUCCUCCAAGCCUAAAUACUACUCGGUGACCGAUAGUGAAGAAGUACUGUGAAGGAAAGGUGAAAAGUACCCCUGACGGGGAGUGAAAAAGAACCUGAAACCUUGUGUUUACAAGCACCGAAAGCUCAUCAAAGAGCGAUCGGGUACCUUUUGUAGAAUGGUCCGGCGAGUGAAUGUAACCGGCGAGGUUAAGCACUUAAGGUGUGAAGCCGCAGCGAGAGCAAGUCUGAAUAGGGCGUAUGAAGUCGGUUGUAUUCGACCCGAAACCGGGUGACCUACCCAUGGUCAGGUUGAAGUAAAGGUAAAACUUUAUGGAGGACCGAACCGACUCCCGUUGAAAUGGUAGCGGAUGAACUGUGGGUAGCGGAGAAAUUCCAAUCGAACCCGGAGAUAGCUGGUUCUCUCCGAAAUAGCUUUAGGGCUAGCCUUGAAAUAGAUUACCGGAGGUAAAGCACUGAAUUGGCUAGGGGCCGAGAGGUUACUGAACCUUAUCAAACUAAGAAUGCCGGAUAAUCGUUUUUCAGGAGUCAGACAGUGGGAGAUAAGUUUCAUUGUCCAAAGGGAAACAGCCCAGACCCACAGCUAAGGUCCCCAAGUAUAGUUAAGUGGAAAAGGAUGUGGAAUUGCACAGACAACCAGGAUGUUGGCUUAGAAGCAGCCACUCAUUAAAAGAGUGCGUAAUAGCUCACUGGUCGAGUGACUCUGCGCCGAAAAUUUAACGGGGCUAAACUAUACACCGAAGCUUGGGAUACAUCUAAUGUAUGGUAGGAGAGCGUUCUGUAUGGGGAGAAGUCGUAGCGAAAGCGGCGGUGGACUAUACAGAAGUGAGAAUGCCGGAAUAAGUAGCGAGAAUUAAGUGAGAAUCUUAAUGGCCGAAAGUCUAAGGUUUUUGGAGGAAGGUUCGUCCGCUCCAAGUAAGUCGGGAGCUAAGGUCAGGCCGAAAGGCGUAGCCGAUGCACAUACGGUUGAUAUUCCGUAACCAUCUGUAAUUUAAGCAAAGGGACACUUCAAAAGGGUGUGACCCGGGCGUUGGUUGACCCGGGCGUAAGGGACCGAAAUUAGAGUAGGGAAGCACACUUAGCUGAAGGCGAGAAAAGCUUUGCGUAUAGAAACAGAUGCCCGUACCGCAAACCGACACAGGUGGACAGGAAGAGAAUUCUAAGGCCAGCGGGAGAAGGGUAGUUAAGGAACUCGGCAAAUUGACUCCGUAACUUCGGAAUAAGGAGUGCUCGAAAGAGCCGCAGAGAAUAGGCCCAGGCGACUGUUUAGCAAAAACACAGGUCUCUGCCAAAUCGAAAGAUGAAGUAUAGGGGCUGACACCUGCCCGGUGCCGGAAGGUUAAGAGGAGGAGUGAGAGCUCCGAAUUGAAGCCCCGGUAAACGGCGGCCGUAACUAUAACGGUCCUAAGGUAGCGAAAUUCCUUGUCGGGUAAGUUCCGACCCGCACGAAAGGCGUAA
Molecule: ribosomal RNA, 1905 nt
Filed under: human gut metagenome
Description: bacterial LSU rRNA
Rfam family: Bacterial large subunit ribosomal RNA
Source: RNAcentral